This 641-nucleotide ribosomal RNA is filed under the name bacterium JL35-43. Its description in RNAcentral is "bacterial SSU rRNA". It matches the Rfam family "Bacterial small subunit ribosomal RNA", at positions 338 to 974 of the family's 1533-position model. The record is from RNAcentral.
CCUACGGGAGGCAGCAGUAGGGAAUCUUUCCGCAAUGGACGAAAGUCUGACGGAGCAACGCCCGCGUGAACGAAGAAGGCCUUCGGGUCGUAAAGUUCUGUUGUUAGGGAAGAACAAGUACCAGAGUAACUGCUGGUACCUUGACGGUACCUAACCAGAAAGCCACGGCUAACUACGUGCCAGCAGCCGCGGUAAUACGUAGGUGGCAAGCGUUGUCCCGGAAUUAUUGGGCGUAAAGCGCGCGCAGGUGGUUCCUUAAGUCUGAUGUGAAGCCCACGGCUCACCGUGGAGGGUCAUUGGAACUGGGGAACUUGAGUGCAGAAGAGAAAGUGGAAUUCCAAGUGUAGCGGUGAAUGCGUAGAGAUUUGGAGGACACCAGUGCCGAAGGCGACUUUCUGGUCUGUAACUGACACUGAGUCGCGAAAGCGUGGGAGCAAACAGGAUUAGAUACCCUGGUAGUCCACGCCGUAAACGAUGAGUGCUAAGUGUUAGAGGGUUUCCGCCCUUUAGUGCUGCAGCUAACGCAUUAAGCACUCCGCCUGGGGAGUACGGCCGCAAGGCUGAAACUCAAAGGAAUUGACGGGGGCCCGCACAAGCGGUGGAGCAUGUGGUUUAAUUCGAAGCAACGCGAAGAACCUUAC